AUACGGAGGGUGCAAGCGUUAUCCGGAUUUACUGGGUUUAAAGGGUGCGUAGGUGGGCAGGUAAGUCAGCGGUGAAAUCUCCGAGCUUAACUCGGAAACUGCCAUUGAUACUAUCUGUCUUGAAUAUCCUGGAGGUGAGCGGAAUAUGUCAUGUAGCGGUGAAAUGCUUAGAUAUGACAUAGAACACCAAUUGCGAAGGCAGCUCACUACGGGGUUAUUGACACUGAGGCACGAAAGCGUGGGGAUCAAACAGGAUUAGAUACCCUGGUAGUCCACGCCCUAAACGAUGGAUACUCGACAUACGCGAUACACUGUGUGUGUCUGAGCGAAAGCAUUAAGUAUCCCACCUGGGAAGUACGAUCGCAAGAUUGAA
This 373-nucleotide ribosomal RNA is filed under the name uncultured bacterium. RNAcentral's name for it is "bacterial SSU rRNA". It matches the Rfam family "Bacterial small subunit ribosomal RNA", at positions 523 to 898 of the family's 1533-position model. The record is from RNAcentral.